This 429-nucleotide long non-coding RNA is filed under the name Physcomitrium patens. RNAcentral describes it as "long non-coding RNA (PPAT_LNC008520)". Lineage: Eukaryota; Viridiplantae; Streptophyta; Bryopsida; Funariales; Funariaceae. The record is from RNAcentral.
GGUUUGGUUUAGGGUUUAGGGUUUGGUUAGGGAUUUAUUUAGGGUUUAGGAUUUGGUUAGGAUUUGAUUAAGGAUUUAGGAUUUAUUUAGGAUUUGAUUUAGGAUUUGAUUUAGGAUUUAGGAUUUGAAUUAGGGCUUGAUUAGGAUAUGAUUUAGGGUUUAGGAUUUGAAUUAGGGCUUGAUUAGGAUUUGAUUUAGGGUUUAGGAUUUGAUAUGGAUUUGAUUUAGGGUUUAGGGUUUGGUUUAGGGUUUUGUUAGGAUUUGAUUUAGGAUUUAAUUAAGAUUUGGUUUAAGGUUUGUUUAGGAUUUGAUUUAGGAUUUAAGAUUCAAUUAAUUUUGGCCUAAAGUUUGAAUGAAAUUCAAUAGGAUUUUAACUAGAAUUAAAUUAAGAUUGAAUUGAGAUGUAUUUGAGUGAUAUUUGUCUUCUUU